GUGGAACUGCAAAAACUUGAGUUCUUACAAAACAAUCUAGAGUUGCUCCCUCUUUGUCAAGACACCAGCUACCCUGUUCUGCUCUCUAAAGCUACGGUGCAAAGCUGGACCUCCCAAACAUCUUUAUCAUCAACUUGCAUUCAUCAACCAGCUAAAACUCUUCUAUAUGAACCAGUGAAUUAUGAUGAGUCGUUACUACUAGCAAUGACUUCCUCUUU
This 218-nucleotide long non-coding RNA is filed under the name Capsicum annuum. Its description in RNAcentral is "long non-coding RNA (CANN_LNC009331)". Lineage: Eukaryota; Viridiplantae; Streptophyta; Magnoliopsida; Solanales; Solanaceae. The record is from RNAcentral.